RNAcentral lists this ribosomal RNA (496 nucleotides) under uncultured bacterium. RNAcentral's name for it is "partial 16S ribosomal RNA". It matches the Rfam family "Bacterial small subunit ribosomal RNA", at positions 28 to 506 of the family's 1533-position model. The record is from RNAcentral.
GAUGAACGCUGGCGGCGUGCCUAAUACAUGCAAGUCGAGCGAACAGACGAGGAGCUUGCUCCUUUGACGUUAGCGGCGGACGGGUGAGUAACACGUGGGUAACCUGCCUAUAAGACUGGGAUAACUUCGGGAAACCGGAGCUAAUACCGGAUAAUAUUUCGAACCGCAUGGUUCGAUAGUGAAAGAUGGCUUUGCUAUCACUUAUAGAUGGACCUGCGCCGUAUUAGCUAGUUGGUAAGGUAACGGCUUACCAAGGCAACGAUACGUAGCCGACCUGAGAGGGUGAUCGGCCACACUGGAACUGAGACACGGUCCAGACUCCUACGGGAGGCAGCAGUAGGGAAUCUUCCGCAAUGGGCGAAAGCCUGACGGAGCAACGCCGCGUGAGUGAUGAAGGUCUUCGGAUCGUAAAACUCUGUUAUUAGGGAAGAACAAACGUGUAAGUAACUGUGCACGUCUUGACGGUACCUAAUCAGAAAGCCACGGCUAACUACGU